This 497-nucleotide ribosomal RNA is filed under the name uncultured bacterium. Its description in RNAcentral is "partial 16S ribosomal RNA". It matches the Rfam family "Bacterial small subunit ribosomal RNA", at positions 28 to 507 of the family's 1533-position model. The record is from RNAcentral.
GAUGAACGCUGGCGGAGUGCCUAAUACAUGCAAGUCGAGCGAACGGACGAGAAGCUUGCUUCUCUGAUGUUAGCGGCGGACGGGUGAGUAACACGUGGAUAACCUACCUAUAAGACUGGGAUAACUUCGGGAAACCGGAGCUAAUACCGGAUAAUAUUUUGAACCGCAUGGUUCAAAAGUAAAAGACGGUCUUGCUGUCACUUAUAGAUGGAUCCGCGCUGCAUUAGCUAGUUGGUAAGGUAACGGCUUACCAAGGCAACGAUGCAUAGCCGACCUGAGAGGGUGAUCGGCCACACUGGAACUGAGACACGGUCCAGACUCCUACGGGAGGCAGCAGUAGGGAAUCUUCCGCAAUGGGCGAAAGCCUGACGGAGCAACGCCGCGUGAGUGAUGAAGGUCUUCGGAUCGUAAAACUCUGUUAUUAGGGAAGAACAUAUGUGUAAGUAACUGUGCACAUCUUGACGGUACCUAAUCAGAAAGCCACGGCUAACUACGUG